UCUGAGUCUUCUGCCUUUAUUUCCAGGGAGGUGUUCUGGCACUUCUCAAACCUUCCCUCAUUAAGAUCAGCUUCCUCUAGGUCAUUGGGCAUUACAUUAACAUCAGC
This is a long non-coding RNA of Nanorana parkeri, 107 nucleotides long. RefSeq lists it as uncharacterized. The record is from RefSeq and is a predicted model, not a curated record. The transcript has 3 exons. NCBI's taxonomy places the organism in Eukaryota, Metazoa, Chordata, Amphibia, Anura, Dicroglossidae.